CCUACGGGAGGCAGCAGUGGGGAAUUUUGGACAAUGGGCGCAAGCCUGAUCCAGCCAUGCCGCGUGAGUGAAGAAGGCCUUCGGGUUGUAAAGCUCUUUCGGUAGGAACGAAAUGGUUCGUGCUAAUACCGCGGACUGAUGACGGUACCUGAAGAAGAAGCACCGGCUAACUACGUGCCAGCAGCCGCGGUAAUACGUAGGGUGCAGGCGUUAAUCGGAAUUACUGGGCGUAAAGCGUGCGCAGGCGGUUUCUUAAGUCAGAUGUGAAAGCCCCGGGCUUAACCUGGGAACUGCGUUUGAAACUGGGAGACUAGAGUGUGGCAGAGGGGGGUGGAAUUCCACGUGUAGCAGUGAAAUGCGUAGAUAUGUGGAGGAACACCGAUGGCGAAGGCAGCCCCCUGGGUUAACCACUGACGCUCAUGCACGAAAGCGUGGGGAGCAAACAGGAUUAGAUACCCUGGUAGUCCCACGACCUAACCUACUGUCACUAGUUGGUCGGGUAGUUAACUACCUUCGUACGUAACGACUACGCGUGAGUAGUACCGCCGUCGGGNGGACGGCCGCGACGGUAAACGUACAAGAAGUAGACGCGUGAGACGUGCCGACGGACGACGACGAGGGAGGUAGG
Molecule: ribosomal RNA, 628 nt
Filed under: uncultured bacterium
Lineage: Bacteria
Description: bacterial SSU rRNA
Rfam family: Bacterial small subunit ribosomal RNA (bases 1-547)
Source: RNAcentral